Molecule: ribosomal RNA, 403 nt
Filed under: bacterium
Lineage: Bacteria
Description: partial 16S ribosomal RNA
Rfam family: Bacterial small subunit ribosomal RNA
Source: RNAcentral
UGGGGAGUAUUGCACAAUGGGGGAAACCCUGAUGCAGCGACGCCGCGUGAACGAAGAAGGUAUUCGUAUCGUAAAGUUCUGUCCUAUGGGAAGAUAAUGACAGUACCAUAGAAGAAAGCUCCGGCUAAAUACGUGCCAGCAGCCGCGGUAAUACGUAUGGAGCGAGCGUUGUCCGGAAUUAUUGGGCGUAAAGGGUACGCAGGCGGUUUAAUAAGUCGAAUGUUAAAGAUCGGGGCUCAACCCCGUAAAGCAUUGGAAACUGAUAAACUUGAGUAGUGGAGAGGAAAGUGGAAUUCCUAGUGUAGUGGUGAAAUACGUAGAUAUUAGGAGGAAUACCAGUAGCGAAGGCGACUUUCUGGACACAAACUGACGCUGAGGUACGAAAGCGUGGGGAGCAAACAGG